RNAcentral lists this small RNA (224 nucleotides) under Vigna angularis var. angularis. RNAcentral describes it as "Non-protein coding transcript". Lineage: Eukaryota; Viridiplantae; Streptophyta; Magnoliopsida; Fabales; Fabaceae. The record is from RNAcentral.
GGGCACUGCUUAAGUUCUUCCCGGGGUAGGAUACUGUUGAAAGUUGUGUUGUGUGCUAGACUGCUCAACUUUAAGUAGGUGAUGAUGUACCUUUGGAGCAAGCUUUGGAAGUUGAGGAAGACCCAGCCCUUAGUGCUUAGGAUUUCUACUAGCUCUUAUUUUAAACAGCUCUUUAUUUUGAAAGACUUCUAGCCUCCAUGUUAUCAUAAUCUGUAUUUUGGAGA